UCCGAUGGGCUUGGAGACUGG
RNAcentral lists this non-coding RNA (21 nucleotides) under Arabidopsis thaliana (thale cress). Lineage: Eukaryota; Viridiplantae; Streptophyta; Magnoliopsida; Brassicales; Brassicaceae. The record is from RNAcentral.